ACGAACGCUGGCGGCGUGCCUAAUACAUGCAAGUUGAGCGAUGAAGAUUGGUGCUUGCACCCAUUUGAAGAGCAGCGAGCGGGUGAGUAACGCGUGGGGAAUCUGCCUUUGAGCGGGGGACAACAUUUGGAAACGAAUGCUAAUACCGCAUAACAACUUUAAACAUAAGUUUUAAGUUUGAAAGAUGCAAUUGCAUCACUCAAAGAUGAUCCCGCGUUGUAUUAGCUAGUUGGUGAGGUAAAGGCUCACCAAGGCGAUGAUACAUAGCCGACCUGAGAGGGUGAUCGGCCACAUUGGGACUGAGACACGGCCCAAACUCCUACGGGAGGCAGCAGUAGGGAAUCUUCGGCAAUGGACGAAAGUCUGACCGAGCAACGCCGCGUGAGUGAAGAAGGUUUUCGGAUCGUAAAACUCUGUUGGUAGAGAAGAACGUUGGUGAGAGUGGAAAGCUCAUCAAGUGACGGUAACUACCCAGAAAGGGACGGCUAACUACGUG
Molecule: ribosomal RNA, 496 nt
Filed under: uncultured bacterium
Lineage: Bacteria
Description: partial 16S ribosomal RNA
Rfam family: Bacterial small subunit ribosomal RNA
Source: RNAcentral